GCAAGUCGAGCGGAUGGAUAGGAGCUUGCUCCCAUGAGUCUAGCGGCGGACGGGUGAGUAACACUUGGGAAACCUGCCCAUAAUGCUGGAUUACCUCCGGAAACCCGGGGUUAAUACCCAUUAAACCUUUGGACCAAAGGGGGCAAUUUUCUGCUCUCGCUUCUGCUGGAACCUAAGUCUGAUCCCCCGUCUGGUGAGCUAAAUGGUGAGGUAACGGAUCAUCUGUGCAUGGAUGCAUAGGCUAACUGACCGGGUGAUCACUGACACUGGGACUGAAAUCCUGCCCAAAGUCCUACUGGAGAAUAUUGUACGGAGUCUUGAACCCUGGACCAAAGUUGGACGGAGCGUGAACACGGGCUUUAGGAUGGCUUUCAGUUCAUACAACUCUGAUGAUCUGGAAGAACAUAUGCUAUAUCAAUAACCUGGCCCCUUGACUGUACCUCACCUAAAUCUGUGCCAUAACUACCUGCCAUCCACC
Molecule: ribosomal RNA, 478 nt
Filed under: bacterium 2611-S4-05-2
Lineage: Bacteria
Description: bacterial SSU rRNA
Rfam family: Bacterial small subunit ribosomal RNA
Source: RNAcentral